AACGAACGCUGGCGGCAUGCCUAACACAUGCAAGUCGAACGAGACCUUCGGGUCUAGUGGCGCACGGGUGCGUAACGCGUGGGAACCUGCCCUUAGGUUCGGAAUAACUCCCCGAAAGGGGUGCUAAUACCGGAUAAUGUCUUCGGACCAAAGAUUUAUCGCCUUUGGAUGGGCCCGCGUUGGAUUAGCUAGUUGGUAGGGUAAAAGCCUACCAAGGCGACGAUCCAUAGCUGGUCUGAGAGGAUGAUCAGCCACACUGGGACUGAGACACGGCCCAGACUCCUACGAGAGGCAGCAGUGGGGAAUAUUGGACAAUGGGCGAAAGCCUGAUCCAGCAAUGCCGCGAGAGUGAUGAAGGCCUUAGGGUUGUAAAGCUCUUUUACCCGGGAUGAUAAUGACAGUACCGGGAGAAUAAACUCCGGCUAACUCCGU
RNAcentral lists this ribosomal RNA (432 nucleotides) under uncultured bacterium. RNAcentral describes it as "partial 16S ribosomal RNA". It matches the Rfam family "Bacterial small subunit ribosomal RNA", at positions 29 to 506 of the family's 1533-position model. The record is from RNAcentral.